CGUCGGGCGGGCAGCACGAAGCACCUCCCUUCGAUUUGAAAACUGCACGCGCGUCAGGAACACCGGUUUUCAAAAACUUUUUGGAGCGCGAGAACGACUUCAAGAUGACAAGGAAAAUUGCGAUGUGGUGGCUGGUGGUCGCGGUGGCGGUCAGGGUACCAAGCUCCACGCCUACACCAGCAACCUCCACCAAUACAACCACAACUGAAUCAACAACCUCCACCGAUACAACCACAACUGAAUCAGCAACCUCCACCGAUAC
Long non-coding RNA from Hyalella azteca, 262 nucleotides. RefSeq lists it as uncharacterized. The transcript is spliced from 4 exons. The record is from RefSeq and is a predicted model, not a curated record. NCBI's taxonomy places the organism in Eukaryota, Metazoa, Arthropoda, Malacostraca, Amphipoda, Hyalellidae.